GGAGUUUGAUCCUGGCUCAGGAUGAACGCUAGCGGCAGGCUUAACACAUGCAAGUCGAGGGGCAACACGGGUAGCAAUACCUGGUGGCGACCGGCGCAAGGGUGCGUAACGCGUGAGCAACAUACCCUAUACAGGGGGAUAAUCCAGGGAAACUUGGUCUAAUAUCCCAUAGGAUUUACAGAUGUCAUCAUCUAUAAAUUAAAGCUUCGGUGGUAUAGGAUUGGCUCGCGUGACAUUAGCCAGAUGGUGAGGUAACGGCUCACCAUAGCAAUGAUGUCUAGGGGUUUUGAGAGGAAGGCCCCCCACACUGGGACUGAGACACGGCCCAGACUCCUACGGGAGGCAGCAGUGAGGAAUAUUGGACAAUGGAUGGAAAUCUGAUCCAGCCAUGCCGCGUGCAGGAAGACGGCCUUAUGGGUUGUAAACUGCUUUUAUACGGGAGCAAUAAGGGUUACGAGUAAUCCGAUGAGAGUACUGUAUGAAUAAGGAUCGGCUAACUCCGUGCGAGCAGCCGCGGUAAUACGGAGGAUCCGAGCGUUAUCCGGAAUUAUUGGGUUUAAAGGGUGCGCAGGCGGGAGAUUAAGUCGGCGGUGAAAUUUUGCAGCUCAACUGUAAAAGUGCCUUCGAAACUGGUUUCCUUGAGUGUAGAUGAAGUAGGCGGAAUUUGUGGUGUAGCGGUGAAAUGCAUAGAUAUCACGAGGAACUCCGAUUGCGCAGCAGCUUACUAAACUACUACUGACGCUCAGGCACGAARGCGUGGGGAUCAAACAGGAUUAGAUACCCUGGUAGUCCACGCAGUAAACGAUGAUUACUAGCUGUUUGCGAUACAAUGUGAGCGGCUGAGCGAAAGCGUUAAGUAAUCCACCUGGGGAGUACGUUCGCAAGAAUGAAACUCAAAGGAAUUGACGGGGGCCCGCACAAGCGGAGGAACAUGUGGUUUAAUUCGAUGAUACGCGAGGAACCUUACCCGGGCUUGAAAUGCAUCUGACCGGCCUUGAAAGAGGCUUUCCCUUCGGGGCAGAUGUGUAGGUGCUGCAUGGUUGUCGUCAGCUCGUGCCGUGAGGUGUCGGCUUAAGUGCCAUAACGAGCGCAACCCUCAUCAUUAGUUACCAUCAGGUCAAGCUGGGGACUCUAAUGAGACUGCCAUCGUAAGAUGUGAGGAAGGUGGGGAUGACGUCAAAUCAGCACGGCCCUUACGUCCGGGGCGACACACGUGUUACAAUGGGUGGUACAAAGGGCAGCUACAUGGCGACAUGAUGCUAAUCUCCAAAACCACUCUCAGUUCGGAUCGGAGUCUGCAACUCGACUCCGUGAAGCUGGAUUCGCUAGUAAUCGCGCAUCAGCCACGGCGCGGUGAAUACGUUCCCGGGCCUUGUACACACCGCCCGUCAAGCCAUGGAAGCUGGGGGUACCUGAAGUUCGUAACCGUUAAGGAGCGACCUAGGGUAAAACUAGUGACUGGGGCUAAGUCGUAACAAGGUAGCCGUAG
This 1489-nucleotide ribosomal RNA is filed under the name uncultured Bacteroidota bacterium. Its description in RNAcentral is "uncultured Bacteroidetes bacterium partial 16S ribosomal RNA". It matches the Rfam family "Bacterial small subunit ribosomal RNA". Lineage: Bacteria; Pseudomonadati; Bacteroidota. The record is from RNAcentral.